This 500-nucleotide ribosomal RNA is filed under the name uncultured bacterium. RNAcentral's name for it is "bacterial SSU rRNA". It matches the Rfam family "Bacterial small subunit ribosomal RNA", at positions 20 to 518 of the family's 1533-position model. The record is from RNAcentral.
UGGCUCAGGACGAACGCUGGCGGCGUGCUUAACACAUGCAAGUCGAACGAAGCAUUGUGAAGGAGGCUUCGGCCAAUGGAUCAAAUGACUUAGUGGCGGACGGGUGAGUAACGCGUGAGCAACCUGCCUUUCAGAGGGGGAUAACGUUUGGAAACGAACGCUAAUACCGCAUGACAUAGCUUUAUCGCAUGGUAGGGCUAUCAAAGGAGCAAUCCGCUGAAAGAUGGGCUCGCGUCCGAUUAGAUAGUUGGUGGGGUAACGGCCUACCAAGUCGACGAUCGGUAGCCGGACUGAGAGGUUGAACGGCCACAUUGGGACUGAGACACGGCCCAGACUCCUACGGGAGGCAGCAGUGGGGAAUAUUGCACAAUGGGCGCAAGCCUGAUGCAGCAACGCCGCGUGAGGGAAGACGGUUUUCGGAUUGUAAACCUCUGUCCUUGGUGACGAAGAAUGACGGUAGCCAAGGAGGAAGCCACGGCUAACUACGUGCCAGCCGCCGC